GAUGAACGCUGGCGGCGUGCCUAAUACAUGCAAGUCGAGCGAACAGACGAGGAGCUUGCUCCUCUGACGUUAGCGGCGGACGGGUGAGUAACACGUGGAUAACCUACCUAUAAGACUGGGAUAACUUCGGGAAACCGGAGCUAAUACCGGAUAAUAUAUUGAACCGCAUGGUUCAAUAGUGAAAGACGGUUUUGCUGUCACUUAUAGAUGGAUCCGCGCCGCAUUAGCUAGUUGGUAAGGUAACGGCUUACCAAGGCAACGAUGCGUAGCCGACCUGAGAGGGUGAUCGGCCACCCUGGAGCUGAGACACGGUCCAGACUCCUACGGGAGGCAGCAGUAGGGAAUCUUCCGCAAUGGGCGAAAGCCUGACGGAGCAACGCCGCGUGAGUUAUGAAGGUCUUCGGAUCGUAAAACUCUGUUAUUAGGGAAGAACAAAUGUGUAAGUAACUAUGCACGUCUUGACGGUACCUAAUCAGAAAGCCACGGCUAACUACGUG
RNAcentral lists this ribosomal RNA (497 nucleotides) under uncultured bacterium. RNAcentral's name for it is "partial 16S ribosomal RNA". It matches the Rfam family "Bacterial small subunit ribosomal RNA", at positions 28 to 507 of the family's 1533-position model. The record is from RNAcentral.